RNAcentral lists this ribosomal RNA (230 nucleotides) under uncultured bacterium. RNAcentral's name for it is "partial 16S ribosomal RNA". It matches the Rfam family "Bacterial small subunit ribosomal RNA", at positions 562 to 791 of the family's 1533-position model. The record is from RNAcentral.
AAAGGGUGCGUAGGCGGCCUGUUAAGUCAGGGGUGAAAGACGGUAGCUCAACUAUCGCAGUGCCCUUGAUACUGAUGGGCUUGAAUGGACUAGAGGUAGGCGGAAUGAGACAAGUAGCGGUGAAAUGCAUAGAUAUGUCUCACAACACCGAUUGCGAAGGCAGCUUACUAUGGUCUUAUUGACGCUGAGGCACGAAAGCGUGGGGAUCAAACAGGAUUAGAUACCCGUGU